This 498-nucleotide ribosomal RNA is filed under the name Pleosporaceae sp. MU-245. Its description in RNAcentral is "eukaryotic LSU rRNA". It matches the Rfam family "Eukaryotic large subunit ribosomal RNA", at positions 96 to 604 of the family's 3401-position model. Lineage: Eukaryota; Fungi; Ascomycota; Dothideomycetes; Pleosporales; Pleosporaceae. The record is from RNAcentral.
AAGCGGCAACAGCUCAAAUUUGAAAUCUGGCGUCUUUGGCGUCCGAGUUGUAAUUUGCAGAGGGCGCUUUGGCGUUGGCAGCAGUCUAAGUUCCUUGGAACAGGACGUCACAGAGGGUGAGAAUCCCGUACGUGGUUGCUGGCCUUCGCCGUGUAAAGCCCCUUCGACGAGUCGAGUUGUUUGGGAAUGCAGCUCUAAAUGGGAGGUAAAUUUCUUCUAAAGCUAAAUACUGGCCAGAGACCGAUAGCGCACAAGUAGAGUGAUCGAAAGAUGAAAAGCACUUUGGAAAGAGAGUCAAACAGCACGUGAAAUUGUUAAAAGGGAAGCGCUUGCAGCCAGACUUGCCUGUAGUUGCUCAUCCGGACUUUUGUCCGGUGCACUCUUCUAUAGGCAGGCCAGCAUCAGUUUGGGCGGUUGGAUAAAGGUCUCUGUCAUGUACCUCUCUUCGGGGAGAACUUAUAGGGGAGACGACAUGCAACCAGCCUGGACUGAGGUCCG